Molecule: small nucleolar RNA, 90 nt
Filed under: Olea europaea subsp. europaea
Lineage: Eukaryota; Viridiplantae; Streptophyta; Magnoliopsida; Lamiales; Oleaceae
Source: RNAcentral
UGGCUAUGAUUAAUUAAUUAUCCGCACUUCUGAGAUGCAUAAUCCAUGAAGCAUACAGAUAAAAAUGGUUGAAUUUCUUGAUAUGAGCCA